CAGUCGCCGCGGUAAUACGAAGGGGGCUAGCGUUGCUCGGAAUGACUGGGCGUAAAGGGCGCGUAGGCGGAUCACGCAGUCAGAUGUGAAACUCCUGGGCUUAACCUGGGGGCUGCAUUUGAGACGCGUGGUCUAGAGUGUGAAAGAGGGUCGUGGAAUUCCCAGUGUAGAGGUGAAAUUCGUAGAUAUUGGGAAGAACACCGGUGGCGAAGGCGGCGACCUGGUUCAUAACUGACGCUGAGGCGCGAAAGCGUGGGGAGCAAACAAGAUUAGAUACCCGCGUAGUCCCUGUCUCUUAUAC
RNAcentral lists this ribosomal RNA (301 nucleotides) under uncultured bacterium. Its description in RNAcentral is "partial 16S ribosomal RNA". It matches the Rfam family "Bacterial small subunit ribosomal RNA", at positions 509 to 807 of the family's 1533-position model. The record is from RNAcentral.